AUACAGAGGGUGCGAGCGUUAAUCGGAAUUACUGGGCGUAAAGCGCGCGUAGGCGGCUUGGUCAGUCGGAUGUGAAAGCCCUGGGCUCAACCUGGGAAUUGCAUUCGAUACUGCCAAGCUAGAGUAUGGGAGAGGGAAGUGGAAUUUCCGGUGUAGCGGUGAAAUGCGUAGAUAUCAGGAAGAACACCGGUGGCGAAGGCGAGCUCCUGGCUGGAUACUGACGCUAAGGCGCGAAAGCGUGGGGAGCGAACAGGAUUAGAAACCCGAGUAGUCC
RNAcentral lists this ribosomal RNA (274 nucleotides) under uncultured bacterium. Its description in RNAcentral is "partial 16S ribosomal RNA". It matches the Rfam family "Bacterial small subunit ribosomal RNA", at positions 523 to 796 of the family's 1533-position model. The record is from RNAcentral.